AGCUCCAAUAGCGUAUAUUAAAGUUGUUGCGGUUAAAAAGCUCGUAGUUGGAUCUCAGUUCGUGCCCCGUGGUCCGCUUGCCGGCGGUUACUGCGGGCGCCGAACAGCUUUGCGAACUGUCUGCCGAUGCUCUUCACCGGGUGUCGGCGAGCGAUUCGUACGUUUACUUUGAACAAAUUAGAGUGCUUAAAGCAGUCGUCCACUGACCGAAUAAUCUUGCAUGGAAUAAUGGAAUAGGAUCUCGAUUCUAUUCUGUUGGUCUUCGGAAUCUGAGAUAAUGAUUAAGAGGGACAGACGGGGGCAUUCGUAUUGCGGCGCUAGAGGUGAAAUUCUUGGACCGUCGCAAGACGAACUACAGCGAAAGCAUUUGCCAAGAAUGUUUUCA
Molecule: ribosomal RNA, 385 nt
Filed under: uncultured eukaryote
Lineage: Eukaryota
Description: SSU rRNA
Rfam family: Eukaryotic small subunit ribosomal RNA
Source: RNAcentral